CCUCAGGAAGCGCUAGGAGCAUCCUUCAACGGAGGUACCCAGUCGGGGUGCCAGGCGAUCCGUUACAUUGGUGGCAAGCGGUGGGAUGGCGUCCUAGUGCGAGGUAAAGCAGCUCAGAGACACCAUUCGUGGAGUUACAAAUUGAGGGCAACGCUAGCACACGUGCAGCGCCCCUGGGAGCAGAGGUAUCCAGCGACUUGGAGCAGACAAGUAUGGAAUGCUCUGGCGAUGAUUGGAUGGCCGAGGUGAGGCAGCAAGUGGCCCAGUAUGGGGAUGAUUUACCCAUGGAGGUACGCCGGGUGAUCUGGAACCAGGUCACAGCCGAGCGAAACACAAGGCUGGCCCGAGAAUUCCGGCUGGCGAAAGAGAGAGAGUAUGCUCAGCGGAAGGAGUGUUACAGCAGCCGAGUAGAGGCUGCAUCCGAGGAGGCUAGCCGUCUCCCCCUGAGGCGGCCGCAGGAACCCGAAGUAGGGGUCCUCAUAGACUGGUCCUGUGAGGAACCACAACAGGCAGGUG
Pelobates cultripes (western spadefoot toad) is the source of this 516-nucleotide non-coding RNA. Lineage: Eukaryota; Metazoa; Chordata; Amphibia; Anura; Pelobatidae. The record is from the annotation of a GenBank genome assembly.